This is a non-coding RNA of Dipodomys ordii (Ord's kangaroo rat), 105 nucleotides long. The record is from Rfam. Lineage: Eukaryota; Metazoa; Chordata; Mammalia; Rodentia; Heteromyidae.
GGUGCUUGCUUUGGCACCGUAUGAACUAAAAUUGGAAUGAUACAGAGAUUAGCAUGACCCCUGUGCAAGAAUGAAGCGUUCCAUAUUUUUAAAGACAAAAUGUUU